This 501-nucleotide unclassified non-coding RNA is filed under the name uncultured bacterium. Its description in RNAcentral is "partial contains 16S ribosomal RNA, 16S-23S ribosomal RNA intergenic spacer, and 23S ribosomal RNA". The stretch from base 371 to 501 matches the Rfam family "Bacterial large subunit ribosomal RNA", at positions 1 to 131 of the family's 2925-position model. The record is from RNAcentral.
GAUGGCACAGCUCCGCGCCGGGGCGCGGGAUUCGAUUGGGAAGGUCCUCGUUCGACUCGAGUCAGGCCCACUGACAGCAGGACCCGCCCACGGGUGGGGACUUGCGAGGAUGAGUAAGAGCCAGGAAGCCUCCGGCCAGCGUCCUGGCUCUUGCCCAGCCUCGCAGGCUGGAAGACACAAGGUCAAGCACUUUAAGUCAAGCACUUUAAGAAUUGAAGAGAAGAGCGCAUCAGCAAUUCAAGCGAUUGAAUUGCCAGGCAAUUUGACGGAGUCAGGUUGCCAGAUACAGACGAGAGAACGCGUCCCAGGGUGAGCGGUCCGCCGUGUGGUGGACCGGCUCACGUCAGACCGGCGCGGUCUCCGCAUGAUGUCAUAAGCGACAGAAGGCGAACGGAGGAUGCCUGGGCGUCAGGAGCCGACGAAGGACGUGGUACACUGCGAAAAGCAUCGGGGAGCCGUGUGCGGGCGACGAUCCGGUGAUGUCCGAAUGGGGAAACCCGG